RNAcentral lists this ribosomal RNA (433 nucleotides) under uncultured bacterium. Its description in RNAcentral is "partial 16S ribosomal RNA". It matches the Rfam family "Bacterial small subunit ribosomal RNA", at positions 29 to 507 of the family's 1533-position model. The record is from RNAcentral.
AACGAACGCUGGCGGCAUGCCUAACACAUGCAAGUCGAACGAGACCUUCGGGUCUAGUGGCGCACGGGUGCGUAACGCGUGGGAACCUGCCCUUAGGUUCGGAAUAACUCCCCGAAAGGGGUGCUAAUACCGGAUAAUGUCUUCGGACCAAAGAUUUAUCGCCUUUGGAUGGGCCCGCGUUGGAUUAGCUAGUUGGUAGGGUAAAAGCCUACCAAGGCGACGAUCCAUAGCUGGUCUGAGAGGAUGGUCAGCCACACUGGGACUGAGACACGGCCCAGACUCCUACGCGAGGCAGCAGUGGGGAAUAUUGGAAAAUGGGCGAAAGCCUGAUCCAGCAAUGCCGCGUGAGUGAUGAAGGCCUUAGGGUUGUAAAGCUCUUUUAACCGGGAUGAUAAUGACAGUACCGGGAGAAUAAGCCCCGGCUAACUCCGUG